Otolemur garnettii (small-eared galago) is the source of this 106-nucleotide small nuclear RNA. NCBI's taxonomy places the organism in Eukaryota, Metazoa, Chordata, Mammalia, Primates, Galagidae. The record is from Ensembl.
GUGCUCACUUCGGUAGCACAUAUACUAAAAUUGGAACCAUACAGAGAAGAUUAGCAUGGCCCCGUGCAAGGAUGACAUGCAAAUUUGUGAAGCAUUCCAUAUUUUU